UACGGGGGUGGCGAGCGUUACUCGGAUUUACUGGGUGUAAAGGGUAGGUAGGUGGCUUUGCAAGUUGAAGGUGAAAUCCUAUGACUUAAUCAUAGAACUGCCUUCAAAACUACAUUGCUUGAGGACAGAAGAGGAAAGCGGAAUUCCCAGUGUAGAGGUGAAAUUCGUAGAUAUUGGGAGGAACACCGGUGGCGAAAGCGGCCUCCUGGACCGAUACUGACGCUGAGACGCGAAGGCGUGGGGAGCAAACAGG
This 253-nucleotide ribosomal RNA is filed under the name uncultured bacterium. Its description in RNAcentral is "partial 16S ribosomal RNA". It matches the Rfam family "Bacterial small subunit ribosomal RNA", at positions 524 to 776 of the family's 1533-position model. The record is from RNAcentral.